UCAAGGAAGAAAGGGCGUACGGAGAAUGCCUGGGCACAGAGAGGCGAUGAAGGACGCAGCGAACAGCGAAAUGCGGCGGCGAGCGGUAAGCACGCGAUGACCCGCCGAUAUCCGAAUGGGGAAACCCCUCCGCUCAAGAAGCGGAGACCGCAUGACGACCGUCAUGACGGGGCAAUACGCAGGGAACUGAAACAUCUAAGUACCUGCAGGAAGAGAAAGAGAAGUCGAUUCCGUAAGUAGCGGCGAGCGAAAGCGGAGGAGCCCAAACCGGACACAGUCCGGGGUUGUAGGACCGCCGAUAAAGAUGACAUGAAGAGUCAGGAGAAUCCCAUGGGAAGGGGAUCCGAAGAGGGUGAGAGACCCGUAUCCGAAGGCUCGACAUGGAUCGAGGCGGCACCUGAGUACGGCGGGGCACGUGGAAUCCUGCCGGAAUCAUCGGGGACCAUCCCGAAAGGCUAAACACUACUCUGUGACCGAUAGCGAACCAGUACCGUGAGGGAAAGGUGAAAAGAACCCCGGGAGGGGAGUGAAAGAGAACCUGAAACCGCAUGCCCACAAGAAGUCAGAGCCCGUCAAAGGGUGAUGGCGUGCCUUUUGUAGAAUGAGCCGGCGAGUCACGAUCAGCAGGCGAGGUUAAGCAGGAGAUGCGGAGCCGCAGCGAAAGCGAGUCUUAAGAGGGCGGAAUAGUCUGAGGUCGUGGACCCGAAACCGGGUGAUCUAGCCAUGAGCAGGUUGAAGUCGGGGUAAGACCCGAUGGAGGACCGAACCGACCCCCGUUGAAACGUUGGCGGAUGACUUGUGGCUAGGGGUGAAAUUCCAAUCGAACCCGGAGAUAGCUGGUUCUCCCCGAAAUAGCUUUAGGGCUAGCGUCGCAGCGAGAGAGCCGUGAAGGUAGAGCACUGAAUAUGCGAUGGCCGCAUCCCGCGGUACUGAGCAUAAUCAAACUCCGAAUGUCACGGUGUCAUCUGCGGCAGUCAGACGGCGAGUGAUAAGGUCCGUCGUCAAGAGGGAAACAGCCCAGACCAUCAGCUAAGGUCCCAAAGUGCAUGCUAAGUGGAAAAGGAAGUGGAGACGUGCAGACAACUAGGAGGUUGGCUCAGAAGCAGCCAUCCUUCAAAGAGUGCGUAACAGCUCACUAGUCGAAUGACUCUGCGCCGAUAAUUUACCGGGGCUAAGCAUGACACCGAAGCUAUGGACAGGAAUGUGGUAGGGGAGCAUUGCAUGCAGCGGAGAAGCAUGACCGAAAGGGCAUGUGGAGCGCAUGGAAGAGAGAAUGCCGGCGUGAGUAGCGGCACGUGGGUGAGAAUCCCACGCACCGAUGGCCCAAGGUCUCCAGAGGAAGGCUCGUCCUCUCUGGGAUAGUCGGGACCUAAGGCGAGGCCGAAAGGCGUAGCCGAUGGACGACGGGUGGAUAUUCCCGUACCCGAUGUGUGGCGAUGGAGUGACGGAGAAGGCUCAGGCAACCAGCUGCUGGAAUAGCUGGGGCAAGCGAGAUACCUGCGCACCAGGGAAAUCCGGUGCGCAUAAGGGGAAGGCGCGAUGCAUACGGAAAGCUUCGGCAAGUACGGAAAAGCUGAGAGCAGGCUUCCAGGAAAAGCUUCUAGCACAACACACAUCGGCCCGUACCGAAAAUGGACACACAUGGGCAAGGAGAGAAUCCUGAGGUGAGCGAGAGAACUAUAGCUAAGGAACUCUGCAAAAUGACCCCGUAACCUAGGGAGAAGGGGUGCUCCAGAAAUGGAGCCGCAGUAAAACGGCCCAAGCGACUGUUUACCAAAAACACAGCUCUCUGCGAAGGCGCAAGCCGAAGUAUAGGGGGUGACGCCUGCCCGGUGCUGGAAGGUCAAGGGGAGCUGUCAGCGCAAGCGAAGCAGCGAGCCGAAGCCCCAGUAAACGGCGGCCGUAACUAUAACGGUCCUAAGGUAGCGAAAUUCCUUGUCGGGCAAGUUCCGACCCGCACGAAAGGCGUAACGAUUUGGGCGCUGUCUCAGCUGUAGACUCGGUGA
Molecule: ribosomal RNA, 2006 nt
Filed under: human gut metagenome
Description: bacterial LSU rRNA
Rfam family: Bacterial large subunit ribosomal RNA
Source: RNAcentral